RNAcentral lists this long non-coding RNA (996 nucleotides) under Homo sapiens (human). RNAcentral's name for it is "HSALNT0390840". The record is from RNAcentral. Lineage: Eukaryota; Metazoa; Chordata; Mammalia; Primates; Hominidae.
GUUCCUUUGGUGACUCCUUUGAUGUCUCUUCUUGUUCAUCUUCAGUACUGUGAGAAAGAAAAGUUGAAUAAAUACUCUCUAAGGGUCAGCUCUGAAAUCAGUUAAAGACUCUAUACGACUGUGAGCAAAUUCAUGAGAAAAUCAACAGAGCACAGGAACUUUGCUGGGAGGGGCCUUCACAAGGUUACAGUUGGAAGCUGGAGUAUGCAGUGGAAGAAGGGAGUAAGUUCAUAACACUACGCUGUUUGGGUUUAGACGGUUGAGACAUGACCAUGGAUAGCUACACAGGUUGGUAGGUGGAUAACUCUACUUUUAAAAUAGAUGAGUACAUACCUUAAAAGAACAAGAGUACACAAUUUUAAAAAUGUAACAAAGCCAACAGUUAACUUAUAUCUGUCUGGUGCCACAUCCCUGGCUACUGAUCCAAGGCUACCUUCUCAUCUAAAAGAAAGCCCCUGCUAAGUUAUAUAGAACCCAAGGCCUCCCAAGUGGUAGAUGUUAAGUUGAAUCUGCAUUGUUAACUGUUACUAACUCUUUGCUAAGAUGCUAAGCAAGCAAAGGAAAAUGCUGGUGACACUGCCUUCUGGGGAGAAGAAAUACAUGAAAACCUAGUUCUAAUUUUGUUAUGUUAAUAACUAGCUAUGUAGCUUGGGCAAAUCCCCCAGGUCAGCUUAGCAAAGAUAACUGCACUUGCUAUGUGGCACACCAAGGAGCCUGAAAGCUUGAGAGACCAAAGGGGGAAAAAGCAGUGACUACAACAACAUUUGCUAUAAAAAUGCAAGGGGAGGUAUAAAUAAUACAACACGUGGAUGUCAUGAGGUUGGUGAGGAGGAAGGGAUUUGUUCUAUUGAGGAGAAAUCAUUGAACCUUGGUUUUCUCAACCAUAUAAUGAAAGGUUUGGACGAGGCUGUCCCUCAGGAUCCCCCCAGCUCUAAACAUCUGUGAUCCAACAGAAGAAAUUUAAGGGAAGUGAUUCUCAAGGAAUCUUCCCUAAGG